RNAcentral lists this ribosomal RNA (245 nucleotides) under uncultured bacterium. Its description in RNAcentral is "partial 16S ribosomal RNA". It matches the Rfam family "Bacterial small subunit ribosomal RNA", at positions 524 to 768 of the family's 1533-position model. The record is from RNAcentral.
UACAGAGGUCUCAAGCGUUGUUCGGAUUCAUUGGGCGUAAAGGGUGCGUAGGUGGUUUGGUAAGUUGAAGGUGAAAUCUCGGAGCUUAACUCCGAAACUGCCUUCAAUACUGCCGGACUCGAGGACUGUAGAGGAGAAUGGAAUUCACGGUGUAGCAGUGAAAUGCGUAGAUAUCGUGAGGAAGACCAGUGGCGAAGGCGAUUCUCUGGGCAGUUCCUGACACUGAGGCACGAAGGCUAGGGGAG